UGGGGAAUAUUGCACAAUGGGGGGAAAACCCUGAUGCAGCGACGCCGCGUGAGUGAAGAAGUAUUUCGGUAUGUAAAGCUCUAUCAGCAGGGAAGAUGAUGACGGUACCUGAGUAAGAAGCCCCGGCUAACUACGUGCC
RNAcentral lists this ribosomal RNA (139 nucleotides) under uncultured bacterium. Its description in RNAcentral is "partial 16S ribosomal RNA". It matches the Rfam family "Bacterial small subunit ribosomal RNA", at positions 355 to 509 of the family's 1533-position model. The record is from RNAcentral.